Molecule: long non-coding RNA, 257 nt
Filed under: Drosophila guanche
Lineage: Eukaryota; Metazoa; Arthropoda; Insecta; Diptera; Drosophilidae
Source: RNAcentral
UCUGUUUUUUUUUUUUUUUUUUUUUUUUUUUUUUUUUUUUUUUUUUUUUUUUUUUUUUUUUUUUUUUUUUUUUUUCUUCUUUAAUUGUUGGAAUAUUCAGAUCUUUGUGGAUGUUUGCAUUAGAUACGUAAAACGGAGCAUUGACAAUGUGUCGCAAAGUUUUUUAUUGGUAACGCUGAAGUAUCUCAAUAUUUGAGUUGCUAGCAGUUCCCCAAAGCUGUAUAGCGUAGGUCCAAACUGGCUUCAGUAUGGAUUUG